This is a long non-coding RNA of Alligator mississippiensis (American alligator), 2871 nucleotides long. RefSeq lists it as uncharacterized. NCBI's taxonomy places the organism in Eukaryota, Metazoa, Chordata, Crocodylia, Alligatoridae. The record is from RefSeq and is a predicted model, not a curated record. The transcript has 2 exons.
UGCUCCGCAGCCGCCGCCGCCGCGCGCGGGGAGGGCAGGAGAGGAGAGGAGGCUACCUCGGGAGUCCCGCACCUUUCUGGGGAAGACUGAUAAAAAAUUUCAAAUGGAGGCACGGACCCCUUUGGAAGUUUUGAAUGGAGAUGCGGACUCCUUUGAAUUGUAAGUGUGCAGGUAUUCUUAAUACUUUUAAUUGAUGGUAGUCGUCUUUUACAGACCCCUUAGGCUCCCGGGGCUCCGCAGACCACAAGUUGGAAACCACUGCCCUAGUGUUAGAGAGAUACAGAGCUAGAGGGGUGACCCUAGUGUCAGAGAGAGGGUGGGGAGAAAACUCACUUGGUCCAGUUCAUUCCCUCAUCUUUUGUACAGAGCCUAAUCGUGUAUGAAACUGAUGCUCCAGUUCCUCUAAAUCCAAAAGCCAAGAACUAGGCAGCCGUGGGUCAAAUCCAGCACAGAUAAAACUCAGCUAGAAUAGAAAGCACUUCCAUCAGGAAGGAAUUUAGCUCUCCUCCUAAGUAUGUUUUGGGUCCUGGUCAAAUGUAGUCUGGGAGCUAAAGUGGGGCAAGAGAACAACCCAAACACCUUGUGGGUGCUGCAUACUUUUGGGUUAAGAAGAAAAACAAAAACCUAGUGAAAUUUGCCAAACCUCUAACCUGUUUCUGAGUCCACCUUGCAGUGUUCAAAAGCUUUCUCCUGCUAUUCUUAAGAGGAAUGCAGUGUACUGGCUGUGAUGAUUUGAUGAAAAAAUAAAAUACGAUUUUACAACAAUGUCUUUGGUGUGCAGAGGUUUGUAAAAUACAAUGUGAAAUUCAGCGACGGGCAUUUUCGCACUUGUCUCUAGUGUCCGGCUGGCUCAAAAUCCUAGGGAUUGUUUGAACUAAUUAUGUCUUUAAUGUAACUGUUAGGUUUGGGGCUGUUUUCAACACAUCCUUUGUAUUUCUAUGCAGAUCAAGAGGACUUAAAGAGAGUAAAACAUUUUCAGUGUUACAAUCACAUCCACAAACAUUAUUCCAGGAUAGGCUAGAUGUUAGUGGAAAUGUAGUAAUAUAAAGUACAGUGUGUGAGCAAAGCAACAUUUACUCAGCAUUAAACUGUUACAUUAAUAAUAAUGACUUUCAUUUAUAUAGUAGCCCUUUCGGCAAGUGCUGGUGGUUAGUUCUUUUAAAUAACUGCUUUGAUUCACGUAAUAACUUGAUAUACAUAAAGGUAACAGUCAUAUGCAAGAUUUAACUGGUAAAAUGAGGGGGAAAAUCAACUAGCUUUUUCCGGACAUCAGCAAAAUAGGAUAUUAAUGUUAUUUUGUCAAGAUUUAAAUUCAUUACUUGGCAUAAAUAUUUUAUCACAAUGUUUUAAACAGCUGUAUUUUCUGGAAGACAGUGUUAUGAAUAGGAAGGCAUAUUGUGUCCAUUGUGAAAACAUUGAAAAACAGAAGCUUCAUGAUAUAAUGUUGACUUACACUCAAAGAUUAUUGAAACAUGUAUGAACAACGCAUGUCCGGUGUUUAUUGACUUCUUAACUGCUGUGCAGCAAAAUCAGAAAAUAUUAGGACUUCCAUUAUGAAGUUAGUUUGCAAGUCUCAGAAUUUGUCAACUAUGUGUUGAUAACACUUGUAUUUCAGCUACAUCCAACCUUGCUUUUUUUUUUUUCUUUUGGUACUGCAAGUGUAGAAAUGUUAUACGGUUAGCAGAAAACGAGAGUGUGGAAAAAAUUGGUGAGUAAUUCUAGUGGGGGGAAUCAGGUGCAUACCCAAGGGUCAUUACAGCCUGCAACAACAACAAAUUGCAAUUCUAUGCAAACUGCGAGAAAGAGGGUAUAUCAUCUUUGUAGAAAAGAGAAUAACAGAACUGUAAGAUGAAUUCAUGCCAAAUCAUUCAUCAGCUUUUGCCAAGAGAAUACUACAUCUUUGUUAGUGAGCCUUUUUGACAUUUUCUCCUGGAUUUUCUUCUUUUCCAUAUUCAAACACACACUAAUUAUACACAUUAAACCACAUAAGUUGAUUUUUGAAGUCUUUCAUAUGCAAAUAUAAAUAUAGAGGUCUACUUGUGUCUAUUUAUUUAUGUGUGUGUUCUAAAAUCAAAUACAAAAUCAAUUACACAUUUAUGCUUUUAGACAUUAAUGUAAAAGUGUGUAUGUGUGUAUACGGGUAUAUAUAAAAAUGUGAUAAGAUGUACUGAAGGUAGCUCACUUGAGGAUUACAAUACUUUCUGACUUACUUGGUAACUAGUUCUGAACAGGAAAAUAAGCCACAAAGUUUAACACAGAUUUACUUUUAAAAUAUUUUCCCUGGAAAAAAAGUGAGGACUCUUCAGCACUGAAAAGUUUAUACUAAAAUGUGUCCUUCCAUUUAUUUCAGCAAGUCAGCUACAAGAUUGGAACUAAAAGGCUAUAAAAUAGAGGCCCUCAGCACAAUGAAAUCAGUCUGUUAUAAAAGGCAACACAUGCCAGUUUUUCCUCCCCAAUGGCAGAUGCCACACCCUAAAGUAGACAGAAGGCACUGCAGUCUGUGCAAGUGAAGCACGACACAAAGCAACUAUGGUUCAGUUUUUUAGAUCGCAAAUAAUGUAGAAAUAUACCUUUUGCUAUCUUUGCUCAGAUGAUGAGUGGUAGUGUAUGUUAAAUUCAAAUGAUCCUUUCCAAAAGCUCUCUCCAUAUGUAUGAAUUAUGAAUAUAAAUGCAUAUAAUGUAGAAAGCUGUAAUUGCCAUGCAUAUUAUCUGUUGCAAAAUGACUAGAUCAAGUUUUUAGUCUUACAAGUGUACAACUGCAACUUUGUAUUUAAAUUUUGAUCAUUUCUUCAAUGUUAUUAUUUCUUAAAAAUGUAUGUUAUUUAAUACAGUACUGGUUCCUUUUGCAUAAACCAUUGCUAUAUACUCCUA